This 460-nucleotide ribosomal RNA is filed under the name uncultured bacterium. RNAcentral describes it as "partial 16S ribosomal RNA". It matches the Rfam family "Bacterial small subunit ribosomal RNA", at positions 338 to 795 of the family's 1533-position model. The record is from RNAcentral.
CCUACGGGCGGCAGCAGUGAGGAAUAUUGGUCAAUGGACGAGAGUCUGAACCAGCCAAGUAGCGUGAAGGAUGACUGCCCUAUGGGUUGUAAACUUCUUUUAUAUGGGAAUAAAAUGUUCCACGUGUGGGAUUUUGUAUGUACCAUAUGAAUAAGGAUCGGCUAACUCCGUGCCAGCAGCCGCGGUAAUACGGAGGAUCCGAGCGUUAUCCGGAUUUAUUGGGUUUAAAGGGAGCGUAGGUGGAUUGUUAAGUCAGUUGUGAAAGUUUGCGGCUCAACCGUAAAAUUGCAGUUGAAACUGGCAGUCUUGAGUGCAGUAGAGGGGGGCGGAAUUCGUGGUGUAGCGGUGAAAUGCUUAGAUAUCACGAAGAACUCCGAUUGCGAAGGCAGUUCACUGGACUGCAACUGACACUGAGGCUCGAAAGUGUGGGUAUCAAACAGGAUUAGAUACCCCUGUAGUC